GACGAACGCUGGCGGCGUGCUUAAUACAUGCAAGUAGAACGCACAGUUUAUACCGUAGCUUGCUACACCAUAGACUGUGAGUUGCGAACGGGUGAGUAACGCGUAGGUAACCUGCCUGGUAGCGGGGGAUAACUAUUGGAAACGAUAGCUAAUACCGCAUAAUAUUAAUUAUUGCAUGAUAAUUAAUUGAAAGGUGCAAUUGCACCACUACCAGAUGGACCUGCGUUGUAUUAGCUAGUAGGUGAGGUAACGGCUCACCUAGGCGACGAUACAUAGCCGACCUGAGAGGGUGAUCGGCCAGACUGGGACUGAGACACGGCCCAGACUCCUACAGGAGGCAGCAGUAGGGAAUCUUCGGCAAUGGACGGAAGUCUGACCGAGAAACGCCGCGUGAGUGAAGAAGGUUGUCGGAUCGGAAAGCUCUGUUGUAAGAGAAGAACGGGUGUGAGAGUGGAAAGUUCACAGUGUGACGGUAGCUUACCAGAAAGCGACGGCUAACUACGUG
This 505-nucleotide ribosomal RNA is filed under the name uncultured bacterium. RNAcentral's name for it is "partial 16S ribosomal RNA". It matches the Rfam family "Bacterial small subunit ribosomal RNA", at positions 28 to 507 of the family's 1533-position model. The record is from RNAcentral.